UACGGAAGGCAGCAGGUGGGGAAUAUUGCACAAUGGGCGCAAGCCUGAUGCAGCCAUGCCGCGUGUAUGAAGAAGGCCUUCGGGUUGUAAAGUACUUUCAGUCGUGAGGAAGGUGUUAAGGUUAAUAACCUUAGCAAUUGACGUUAGCGACAGAAGAAGCACCGGCUAACUCCGUGCCAGCAGCCGCGGUAAUACGGAGGGUGCGAGCGUUAAUCGGAAUUACUGGGCGUAAAGGGCACGCAGGCGGUUAAUUAAGUUGGAUGUGAAAUCCCCGGGCUUAACCUGGGAAUGGCAUUCAAGACUGGUUAGCUAGAGUCUUGUAGAGGGGGUAGAAUUCCAUGUGUAGCGGUGAAAUGCGUAGAGAUGUGGAGGAAUACCGGUGGCGAAGGCGGCCCCGUGGACAAAGGACUGACGCUCAUGUGCGAAAGCGUGGGGAGGCAAACAGGAUUAGAUACC
RNAcentral lists this ribosomal RNA (456 nucleotides) under uncultured bacterium. RNAcentral's name for it is "bacterial SSU rRNA". It matches the Rfam family "Bacterial small subunit ribosomal RNA", at positions 340 to 786 of the family's 1533-position model. The record is from RNAcentral.